RNAcentral lists this ribosomal RNA (253 nucleotides) under uncultured bacterium. Its description in RNAcentral is "partial 16S ribosomal RNA". It matches the Rfam family "Bacterial small subunit ribosomal RNA", at positions 524 to 776 of the family's 1533-position model. The record is from RNAcentral.
UACGGAGGGAACUAGCGUUGUUCGGAUAUACUGGGCGUAAAGCGCACGUAGGCGGCGCCGUAAGUCAGGGGUGAAAUCCCGGAGCUCAACUCCGGAACUGCCCUUGGAACUGCAGUGCUAGAAUCUUGGAGAGGCGAGUGGAAUUCCGAGUGUAGAGGUGAAAUUCGUAGAUAUUCGGAAGAACACCAGUGGCGAAGGCGACUCGCUGGACAAGUAUUGACGCUGAGGUGCGAAAGCGUGGGGAGCAAACAGG